This 225-nucleotide ribosomal RNA is filed under the name uncultured bacterium. RNAcentral's name for it is "partial 16S ribosomal RNA". It matches the Rfam family "Bacterial small subunit ribosomal RNA", at positions 28 to 253 of the family's 1533-position model. The record is from RNAcentral.
GACGAACGCUGGCGGCGUGCUUAACACAUGCAAGUCGAGCGGUAAGGCCCCUUCGGGGGUACGACGAGCGGCGAACGGGUGAGUAACACGUGGGUGACCUGCCCUCAGCUCUGGGAUAAGCCUGGGAAACUGGGUCUAAUACCGGAUAUGACUCCAUGACGCAUGUCGUGGGGUGGAAAGCCUUGUGCGGCUGGGGAUGGGCCCGCGGCCUAUCAGCUUGUUGGU